Molecule: ribosomal RNA, 448 nt
Filed under: uncultured bacterium
Lineage: Bacteria
Description: bacterial SSU rRNA
Rfam family: Bacterial small subunit ribosomal RNA
Source: RNAcentral
CGCCAGACUCCUACGGGAGGCAGCAGUGGGGAAUAUUGCACAAUGGGGGAAACCCUGAUGCAGCGACGCCGCGUGAGCGAUGAAGUAUUUCGGUAUGUAAAGCUCUAUCAGCAGGGAAGAAGAUGACGGUACCUGACUAAGAAGCCCCGGCUAACUACGUGCCAGCAGCCGCGGUAAUACGUAGGGGGCAAGCGUUAUCCGGAUUUACUGGGUGUAAAGGGAGCGUAGACGGCGAUGCAAGCCAGAUGUGAAAGCCCGGGGCUCAACCCCGGGACUGCAUUUGGAACUGUGUGGCUGGAGUGUCGGAGAGGCAGGCGGAAUUCCUAGUGUAGCGGUGAAAUGCGUAGAUAUUAGGAGGAACACCAGUGGCGAAGGCGGCCUGCUGGACGAUGACUGACGUUGAGGCUCGAAAGCGUGGGGAGCAAACAGGAUUAGAUACCCGAGUAUA